UGUCAGCAGCAUAACGUAAGAGGCUGCAGUUCUUGCAGUUCGGUUACCUUUUUCUGUGAAUCUAAGAAGCUUGGUCGCAGAGGAUUCGGAGGAACAUUUAAGGUAAUUAAUUAAAUUAAUGAGCAUGAAUUUGAGCAGGGGACCUUGGCCGAUGGUGGAGAAAUAGCAAUAAAACGGUUACAAAUAAACAAAAAGACUCGAAUUAAUCAAGGAGAAGGAGAUUUGCAAUGGAUUCGAGAUCAUUAGUCGAGCUCAACAGAAGAACUUGGUUCGAUUCCUUGGCUGCUGCUUCACAAAAGCAGACGUCUACGUUGUCUCUGAAUACGUUGCAAACAAAAGCCAUGACCGAAUUUUGUUCGGUAAGCAAUCUGAUUAAUGACGUUUUAAUUCUCUAAAACAAUUAAUUAACCUCUUUUAACUCAUUUUCCCCUGCGAAUGGAAGAAAGACCCUGAGGAGAAGAAGAAAAAAGGCUUAAAAUAAUCAUAAGAACGGCCCAAGAUUUAGUAUUUUCACUGUUCUGACAUGCAGAUUAUUCAUUUGGAUAUCAAAACAAGUGAUAUUUUACUAGACUUAAAACACAGACCGAAAAUAGACGAUUUUGGGCUCGUCCGGUUUUGCUCAAGCAAACGAUACCUAAAAUUAUCAAUAAUUUUCCUGGAAAAUUCUUCAUCUUUUUAUUCAAAUUUUAAUUCUUUAGAGGGUAUGUGACUCCGGAAUAUAUUAUGAAGGGACAAUUGACCGAGACAGUAGACGCUUAGAGUCUUGGAGUUCUUGCGCUUGAAAUCAACAGCGGGAUAAAGGGUAAUAAAUUUCAGUCCAAGUAUUGUUUAGAAACUCUACUUGUUAACACAUGGAAGCACUUCCAGGCAAACAAACAAUCUGAAAGAAUAGACAAAAGCUUGGAGAAUACGGCAGAAGAAAUAAAAGAAGUUGAAAGAGUCAUUUGGAUAGGUCUAUUGUGCACGCAAGAGCCAGUGUUUCGUCGUCCAACAAUGACAAGGAUCGUUCAAAUGCUUAAACAAGAGGAUACUCCAUUGCCGUCUCCAUUUAAAGACGACAAUGCAGGGAGUGAGUUUAACGUCGCCCUCUCGCAGCCAAUCCAUACAAAAAGGUUCCCAGAAUUUUAGAUGAUCGAUUAGUAUACCGUCAUCUGAGGACAAGUUUGCAUUUUUUGUUUGUUCUUUGUUUAGCUUUUUUAAUUGGGCACUUACUUUUCGGCCUUCUAGAUAGGCUUAAAUUUUUAUAUUAAUUUAGUGAAGAUUAGUGCGUAA
Long non-coding RNA from Mangifera indica (mango), 1272 nucleotides. RefSeq lists it as uncharacterized. NCBI's taxonomy places the organism in Eukaryota, Viridiplantae, Streptophyta, Magnoliopsida, Sapindales, Anacardiaceae. The record is from RefSeq and is a predicted model, not a curated record. The transcript has 2 exons.